CAUCUACUUAAAAUAGUACUAGGUGAUAAACUUACAAUCCUCACAUAGCCUCAAUCAUAACAUGUGGCUAGGCAAAUAUACGAACUACACAGUUAACUUAUACCGUGACGACAUACGACAGUUCCGAGACCGAAAUACAGGACAACAGGGCCUUUUUUAAGGAUUUUUCCGUGGGGGGGGGGGUAUUUUUUGAAAAGGGAUCUUAGAUAAUAUAUUAGAGGGGGAUAGCAAUGGCCGACGGCCACGGUGUGUGGUCGACAUACUCCCCCAGAAAAUGUUUUAAAUUUGAACCUUUCAAAUACCAUUUCCUGCUUUAUGAGCGUCUAAAUUUGCUCUAAAAUUUAUGCUAAUUAUACUUGUACUUGAAAUAAAAGAUGGAAAAAAUGCAGAAAAAAUAAAAGAAAAAUUUAUCCAUUACUUAUUAUUAAAGGAGGAUAGCAAUGGCCGUGGGUCACGUGUGUGGCCGACAUACCGCGAAUGAAUAGGGGGGUCUGGAGGCAUUAACUCCCCAGAAAAUGUCUGAAAUUUCAAGCCCAAAAAUGCCAUUUCCUGCCGUCUGAGCAUCUAAAUUUUCUAGAAUUUAUCCUAACUAUACUUCUAUUUGAAAUAAAAGAAGGAAAAACACACAAAGAAUUUAAAAACUAUUAACAAUAAUUUAUCAUUACUUAUAUGGUGUUAGAAACACGUAGGAUGCGCACGCGGUGACACAGUCCUUUAAAUCGAUUUUGUUAAACAAGGACAAAGGAUAAAGCCUAAAACGUACGUUCCGUUUAUCAAUUUGUUAUUCUUCGCUGGUUUGUUUGUAUAAAUUUAGGAAAAAGGGACUUUUCCUGGGGGGGGGGGGUGAAAGUGAGCCUCAGAACGUGCAUUUUCAUUUCCGAUCAGCCUGCAUCAGAGCAAAGUAUCCAAGCUUUCCUGGCGACGUUCUCGUUCCUCCAGACUUUCCUCCCCUUCUCAAGGUGGAGCACGUCCAAAGGCUUGCAGGAGAGUUCGGCUGGGUCCUUUAGAAACGUACUUGCCAACUUAAAUUGCUAACUUAAAAUCUGCGUAUUUUGAAGUAUUUUGUGUUUUGUUAGUUUUGCUUUGUAAGAUAUUUAAAAUAG
Non-coding RNA from Paramuricea clavata, 1103 nucleotides. Lineage: Eukaryota; Metazoa; Cnidaria; Anthozoa; Malacalcyonacea; Plexauridae. The record is from the annotation of a GenBank genome assembly.